Long non-coding RNA from Equus caballus (horse), 2272 nucleotides. Lineage: Eukaryota; Metazoa; Chordata; Mammalia; Perissodactyla; Equidae. The record is from Ensembl.
AUAGGAACCUAUGAGCAUGGGGUAGGUUUAGAGAAAGAACACUUUCACUAUUAUCCCUUGGUUUUAUUCUUGUAAACUAUUUCAAAACUACCUGCCAAUUUCAAAACCACUUGUAUAUCCCAGUUCUUUGGCUUGGUGAAUAAAGGAAACUUUUAUAACAUCUGGAAAGAUGAGAAUGUCAAGCAAAUUAUACUUCCCAAUGAAAUCAUUCUGUUGUAGGCUUUAAACAUGUUGGUUAACAACCUCAGUACAUUGUCACUGAAAUGAUUUGAAGAGAGGGGCCCUUCAUAUCAUAAUUAGCUACUUCAGAGCAAAUUGGAAGAUGGGGUGGGGGACUCUUAGAAGCAGUAGGAGGAAAAUAUAAUAGAAGCAGUUCAUGAAGACGUUUUCAUUUCAGUUUUAGCACAGCUUUGACUGUAUAUCUGGCAGAUUAGCAUACCCUUGUUGCUAUUUAUUCAUCAUAAUAUUUAUGUGUGAGAAAAAGUGGUUGUAAAGUAUAAUUUGUUUGAAAGUUGUUCUUAUGCCUUGGAAUGAAAGGUACUGGGCAAGUACAAAUAUAAGCAUGAUUAUUUUUAUUAUCCUUGGUUUAAAUUCACAACUUAAAAGGGCAGUGAUGAGGGACGGGUUCCUAACACCCAGGAGUUUACGACAGGCCUCUGAAGUACAACUUUGGAUAGACUCUAAAUAUGAAAAACAUGUCUGGCCCAGGAAAACAGAUUUGACCUUUUAAAAAAUUUUAUUUUCCAUUAAGAUAAUGCUAGUACAUGGGCUUUUUCCUAAAAAAAAUCACUCAAAUUCUGUGAGUUUUAUAAGUUUGAAAGCACAUGGCCGAGGCUGUGUGCAUGCAUAGAUGAAAGGAAAAGGCCCCUACUUGAAGAAAGAAGUGAAAUAGCGGAAAGAGAGGCAAAGGAAAAAUAAAAUCAAAUUGAAAUCAAAGGAGAGGUAAAAAUGUCAAUGGAUAAAAAUAGAAGAGUCCCAAUCUUCUUGAAUAUUUUAUGGCGAGCUUUAGAGUGAGCUUGAUCACCCAAAGGACACACCACAGGGAUUAGUGUUCGAAAAUGAACAACAGAUGUUGGAUGUCAACAGACAAUAUCCCAGUGGGUGAAGAGCAUUUAGGGUGAAAGAAAGUAAAACACAUUGUCAGGUGGUCUCUGGUUCUUUGGGUAAAUCUUUUAUGUGGAAUAAGUUUCUCGGGCAGCUAUCAGAGAUUCAUUGGAGCAACCCAAUGGUUUUUCUGGUUAAUGGGCUCCUAAGUGAACAUGGGAGGAAAAUUAAUUAAGCAAUGGUCACUUACAGAAUAGAAUACAUUCUAUAUAUAAGUCACUGUGCUUUGGCAGAAAUCCUUCCCUGAAGGGGAUUGCAACUGAGAAUGAUUCUACGAUUAACAAACGUCUCUGAGCAAGUUGACUUGGGUGGAGACGAAUCACUGCUCUUUGCAUCACUGGGACUUACUCAAAAACAUCUUCCCUGGCCAUCAUAUUUCUAAGAAGAGAGCCAGUGGAGAGAGUAACGAGCCUUCCAUUAAAGAAGAGCGUGGAGGAGAUAGACUGGAGCUGGUGUGCGCCCGUGAUCCCAGAGUUCUAGAAUCUCAUAAACUCACUCGCUCAUAAAACAUGGGUGAAUACUGGGAAAUGCAGUUUCUCCUUCUCUGUCAUGCUGAAUCAACCACCAAGGUGUGCCAGCUAACUACAGUCUGAAGCCUCCAACCAGACCUCUGCUUAUGGGCCUGGUUGUAUGGUCACAUGAAUCCAGGCAACUGAAUAUGGCUAUAAAGGCACAGACUUUACUCUUAAGGUCUCAGGAAGACCACCCAACAGCAAGGGAAACUGAAGGUGAAGUCUACAUAUGCAGGCUUUGAAGAACAUGAUGACACAUGGGGACCAGCCAGAAGAUAUAUGACGCUUGUUAAGCUGGAGCAGCUCAGAUGAUCUGUUUAGCUGUGGGUAGCUCCUCUGGAUUUAAGGGGCUUCCUUUUCAUGGUCUCAUCUUCUGCAGGAGGCAGCUUUUCCAGAAAUAAGCCUCUGAACGUGGGGCUGAGGCAAUGAUCACAGGGAUCUGGUGUCAGCCAUCAUUUUAUGAUGCUCCGUGAAUUCUUCAGAGGCUUCUCUUUACACUUUCUAAAGCUGCCAUAUUUCCCUAUGAGUUGGAAAAUAUUUUCUACCCAUUCUUGAUAGAAAUAUGUGUGAAAAGAGGAUAAAUAGGUUCUAACCCUGGUUUUAUUUGUAAAAUACAUGUGCUUUAGUUUGUUGAGCUUACAGUGUCUCUUUUGAAG